Molecule: unclassified non-coding RNA, 404 nt
Filed under: soil metagenome
Description: partial contains 5.8S ribosomal RNA, internal transcribed spacer 2, and large subunit ribosomal RNA
Rfam family: 5.8S ribosomal RNA (bases 1-122)
Source: RNAcentral
GAUGAAGAACGUAGCAAAAUGCGAUACUUGGUGUGAAUUGCAGAAUCCCGUGAACCAUCGAGUUUUUGAACGCAAGUUGCGCCCGAAGCCUUUUGGCCGAGGGCACGUCUGCCUGGGCGUCACGCAUCGCAUCGCCCCCCACAAUUCUCCGUAAAGGGAACAUGUGUUUUGGGGGCGGAUAUUGGUCUCCCGUGCUCAUGGCGUGGUUGGCCGAAAUAGGAGUCCUUUCGAUGGACGCACGAACUAGUGGUGGUCGUAAAAACCCUCGUCUUUUGUUUCGUGCUGUUGCUCGCAAGGUAAACUCUUUAAAAACCCCAAUGUGUCGUCUCUUGACGACGCUUCGACCGCGACCCCAGGUCAGGCGGGACUACCCGCUGAGUUUAAGCAUAUCAAUAAGAGGAGGA